RNAcentral lists this transfer RNA (68 nucleotides) under Diphylla ecaudata (Hairy-legged vampire bat). Its description in RNAcentral is "tRNA-Pro". The record is from RNAcentral. Lineage: Eukaryota; Metazoa; Chordata; Mammalia; Chiroptera; Phyllostomidae.
UCAAGAAAUAGUUUAAGGAGAAUUUUAGCUUUGGGUGUUAAAGGUGGGAUUAUGAUAUCUCUUUCUUG